This 429-nucleotide ribosomal RNA is filed under the name Actinomycetes bacterium. Its description in RNAcentral is "Actinobacteria bacterium partial 16S ribosomal RNA". It matches the Rfam family "Bacterial small subunit ribosomal RNA", at positions 355 to 776 of the family's 1533-position model. Lineage: Bacteria; Bacillati; Actinomycetota; Actinomycetes. The record is from RNAcentral.
UAGGGAAUCUUCCGCAAUGGGCGAAAGCCUGACGGAGCAACGCCGCGUGAGUGAUGAAGGUCUUCGGAUCGUAAAACUCUGUUAUUAGGGAAGAACAAAUGUGUAAGUAACUAUGCACGUCUUGACGGUACCUAAUCAGCAAGCCACGGCUAACUACGUGCCAGCAGCCGCGGUAAUACGUAGGUGGCAAGCGUUAUCCGGAAUUAUUGGGCGUAAAGCGCGCGUAGGCGGUUUUUUAAGUCGGAUGUGAAAGCCCACGGCUCAACCGUGGAAGGUCAUUUGAAACUGGAAAACUUGAGUGCAGAAGAGGAAAGUGGAAUUCCAUGUGUAGCGGUGAAAUGCGCAGAGAUAUGGAGGAACACCAGUGGCGAAGGCGACUUUCUGGUCUGAUACUGACGCUGAUGUGCGAAAGCGUGGGGAUCAAACAGG